Molecule: long non-coding RNA, 1622 nt
Organism: Equus caballus (horse)
Lineage: Eukaryota; Metazoa; Chordata; Mammalia; Perissodactyla; Equidae
Source: Ensembl
CAGAGGCAGGAGGGAGUGUCGCCAACAAAAUUUACGCUCCGUGUCGUCAGCCAGAGAUAACAGCAGCUGACGCGGCCGCUUGCCUCCCCUGCCAUCUGCUCAGCGCGGGGCCGCCAAGGGGCGAGGGCCGCCCCGCACUACCCGGGGGACCACGCGGCAGAGAGCUGCUCAGACGGGCCGGACCACCGGGAGCACGGCGCACCCGGGAAGCGCCCCUGUACCCCUCCCUGCAGACAUGCUUGCUGCCCAGAAACCCAACAUCUGGGAUGGGGGCAGAAAGGAGAUGGAGCUGGCUGGUCUGGGGUUGUGCCCCCAGUGGCAGGGGGUGGGAUUUUGAGAUCUGUUUUUUGUCCCCAUGUUCCAGAUGCGGAAACUGAGGCACAGAUGCACCAGGGAUCACCUACAGAGGGAGUGAGAAGGACUGGGAGGCACAGUGGUUAGACUUGUUUUCAUUGCAUUUACUGUUCUGGAGACUUUCCUAAGGAGGGGGAAACUUUUCACGGACAGCAUCAUUCUUUCAGGCGGUCAGUAACGAUUUAUUAAGCACCUAUCCUGCGACAGCUACUCUGUUGGGAACCUGGAAUGCAGAGUGAACCAAACUUGAUCUCUGCCUUCAGGAUGUUUGGAGUCCGGUUGGAGAAUGAGAUCUCUUUGCUUUGAGCAAAGGCAGCACAACAGAGCCGAAAGAACUCGGAAGUCAUUUCACUUGUCCGGGCUUCAGUUUUGAGCAUCCAGAUGCCCCACUCGCCCUGAGAAACAGGAUAAUCUCAAGCUAGCGAAUGCUCAUCACUGAUUCACUAGUACUGCCCUGGGUCCAUAAAGUCCUGUGCGCUGCCCUCCAGGGAGACACGUCUAGCCGGGCAGACAAGCAAAUAGGUCCAACGAAGGGGCUGUACUGUCUCUCCUCACCCUCCACUGCGAGCUUCUAGGGCUGGGACUGGAUCGUGGUCCUCUCUCUAUCCUUGACUGUACCGAGGACAUCUUGGCAUAACAGCCUUUCGGAGAUUGCCUCUCCUUCUCAGAAAUGACAAGAGCACUGGCCUUCACUCCCAGUGGGACAAGACUGGAGCGUUCACUGAGGGAUAUUUUCACCCCCUGGGGCCUGACGGCCUCAACUCCAACCCUAUCUUGGCACCGAUGGGCAAUCCCCAGGCAAGUCCUGGGCACACACAGAAUUUCCUGGCCAGAGCCUACCAUCUGGCCCUCACGCCCUCUGCUGCAAUGUGCAGACCUGGACAAACAAGAAAAGUGUGGUCCAAAGGGGUGACGUUCUACCCAAGUCCAUGCCACGAGCACAAGACAAAGCUGUCGGCUAAGCUGCAGCCUCAGGCCAGCCUUCUACCUGCUGGCGGCCUCUCCUCUAUAGGCCUGAGGACAGCCCCUCUCCAGCUAAAGGACCCCUCUGUGCAUGCAGUCCCGCUGUCCUUGCCGGCUUAGAAUAAAGAGUGCGCUUUAUUCUGAUUGUCCUUUUUUCAAACGUUAAAUUCCUCUUCUUGUAUAAAAUAACAGCAGGCGAUUGUGCUGAUUUAUGACGAGGGUGACAAAAUAAGGAGUUGGACGCCAUGUUAGGCCCUAGUUCUGGAGAUAUUUUGCUAAUGGGUACAAGAAAUCCAGGAGCUGGG